UCAACGUGGUUACCCCGGGAGGUCACUCUCCCCGGGCUCUCUCCUAGUGAAGUAAGGAAGCAAAAGGCCCCGCCCUGUGAUGUACAGUCCCAUUCCACAAUGAAGGCGAAGAUGGCCUUCGAGUCUGCGCCUGUGUAUUCCUAUGGCUUCUCAGAGUCCUCUGGAUGAUGACCGAGGAGACAAACCGUGCAGGAAACGGUC
Molecule: small nucleolar RNA, 201 nt
Organism: Arvicola amphibius (Eurasian water vole)
Lineage: Eukaryota; Metazoa; Chordata; Mammalia; Rodentia; Cricetidae
Product: small nucleolar RNA SNORA73 family
Exons: 1
Source: RefSeq, a predicted model, not a curated record